AGUGAACGCUGGCGGCGUGCUUAACACAUGCAAGUCGAACGAGAACGGGUUAUAGUUUGCUAUAAUUGUUAGUUAAGUGGUGCACGGGUGAGUAAUAUAUAGUUAACCUGUUCUCAAGAAAGGAAUAACAGUUGGAAACGACUGCUAAUGCCCUAUAUGCCUUUAAUACAUAAGUAUGCAAGGGAAACGCUUUAGUGCUUGAGGAUGGGACUGUAUGGUAUCAGUUAGUUGGUGAGGUAAUGGCUCACCAAGACUAUGACGCCUAACUGGUUUGAGAGGAUGAUCAGUCACACUGGAACUGAGACACGGUCCAGACUCCUACGGGAGGCAGCAGUGGGAAUAUUGCACAAUGGACGAAAGUCUGAUGCAGCAACGCCGCGUGGAGGAUGACACAUUUCGGUGCGUAAACUCCUUUUAUAUAGGAAGAUAAUGACGGUACUAUAUGAAUAAGCACCGGCUAACUCCGUGCCAGCAGCCGUACGG
Molecule: ribosomal RNA, 483 nt
Filed under: uncultured bacterium
Lineage: Bacteria
Description: bacterial SSU rRNA
Rfam family: Bacterial small subunit ribosomal RNA
Source: RNAcentral